ACCAGUGUGGCAUAGUGGUUUGAGCGCUGGACUAGACUCUAGAGACCAGGGUUCAAAUCUUCCCAGUGGAG
This is a non-coding RNA of Phrynosoma platyrhinos (Desert horned lizard), 71 nucleotides long. The record is from the annotation of a GenBank genome assembly. Lineage: Eukaryota; Metazoa; Chordata; Lepidosauria; Squamata; Phrynosomatidae.